Molecule: long non-coding RNA, 202 nt
Filed under: Lathyrus oleraceus (garden pea)
Lineage: Eukaryota; Viridiplantae; Streptophyta; Magnoliopsida; Fabales; Fabaceae
Description: Pisum sativum (pea) long non-coding RNA (PSAT_LNC015095)
Source: RNAcentral
AGAAAUGUCAAACAAGGAUGUCACACCAGAAACUCAGACAUGACAUCACUUCCAAAGGUUUGAAACUCCUCCAUAUGGAUUGGGUGGGACUCAUGCAGGUGGAAAACCUUGGUGGAAAGAAGUGUGCAGUGGUAAAUGACUUCUCCAAAUACACCUGGACCAAAAACAAAUCUGAUGUGGUUGAAAUCUUCAAAGAUUGUUG